AUAAUCAAAGAAGUACACUAUUAUCACGAAAUUUUAGCCUUUUUCUGUAAGUUCUAACGACUGUAGAAGAGGCUACUGAAAAGGACUAGGGCAAUAUUUUAUUAUUUGUACAAGAUAUCAUUUCUCUUGGAUUAGGAUAAUUUAAAAUGGAAGAUCAUCAACUGAAAAAACGGUCAGAACUAGUUACCAAUGUCGAAAAGAAGGUGAGUUACUGACGAGCUUUUCUAUAAUGAAAGGAAUAGGUUUUCUAAAAGCAACGUUAAAAGUAUAAAGGAAAAAUAUCCCACUUAACAUAGCAACAGCAAAAUAGUCCCCAGCAUAAACUUAACAAGAAAUGCGUUGAGCUAAUUAUCAAAAGAACUAUGACAAGUUAGUGAAUUACAAAAGUUAAGAUGCAAAUAGAGGUACCAUUUUAUCUUUCUUGAUCCUGAGUUCUAACAGUACAUCAAUUAGUUCCCAUAAUUUCAAUCAGAAUGCCAAAUUGAAAAUUUCACAAAGCCCUUCUAAAGUUCACUUGGAAAAUUAAAAGAUAAGAAGAGCCAAGAAAUCUUUGAAGACAUUGUAGGGGAAGUCAUCUAGAUAUUUAUAUGUAUCAUAAAGUUAUAGUGAUUAAAGUAGUACUGAGUACUACAAGGAUAAAGUAAAAUGCACUUAUAGAAAAAUAGCAUAAUAUGUGUGUGUGCCGUGCAUGCAUAUACAUAUAUGUAUUAAUCAAGUAUAUCAUGAAUAGCAUCUCAAAAGAAUGCUGAAUUGUUUUAGAAACAGUAUCAAGAAUAAGGUAACAACUCUUCAUUACAGAUAUCUAACAUCUUUUGAACACCCUCUGACAUUUCUCACUUUGUAAACAAGUCCUGUUUUCCCAAGAGAAUCUGUAAAUCAGGCAUAUGACUUAAGUCUACACUCCCCCAUACCCUGCUCUGUGACAUCUGAUGUGGAGAAGAGCCACAGGAGGGCGCAUAUUCCAGGAGACUAUUCUGGUGAUCUUUCGAUAAUUACAGGGCUUAAGCCCAAGUUUAUCCUCCUUUGCUGUGGAACAAAGACCUUUCUC
This 1048-nucleotide long non-coding RNA is filed under the name Canis lupus familiaris (dog). Its description in RNAcentral is "lncRNA (ENSCAFG00000058649.1, ENSCAFG00845009302.1)". The record is from RNAcentral. Lineage: Eukaryota; Metazoa; Chordata; Mammalia; Carnivora; Canidae.